GCACUGCUGAGGAGUCCCAUAAUAGGAUGAGACGGCCGUCCAGUGU
RNAcentral lists this non-coding RNA (46 nucleotides) under Schistosoma mansoni. The record is from RNAcentral. Lineage: Eukaryota; Metazoa; Platyhelminthes; Trematoda; Strigeidida; Schistosomatidae.